UUUUUUUUUUUUUUGCCAAAAUCAAGUUUUUUAACUACUUGCUAAUUAUUCUGUUUCCUUAGGGCUACUUUGAAGUGUUUGAAAGCUAUAUCAGUAGCAGUUACUUCUAAACUUAGUGCAGAAUAUUUUGCUAAGCAUUUUACUAUAUUAUACAACAUGUCCUACUAUGGUACUUUAUAAUAAAAUCAAAUUCUCAAGUAUUCUGGCAUAUUACAUAUGAUUAUACCCAAACAUCACUUCCUAUCAGUCUAUUACUAUAUAUGCAUAUUUUUUGAAAAAAAUACUGGGUGUUUUGGUCCUAAUGAGAAAGUAUAUUGCAAUAUAUGACUUUUUUAAAAAAAUGAAAAUCCACUUAAGCGUUGGGCAGGGAAACUAAGCUAUGAUUGUAUAUGUUGUUCUCAAGGAUAAAACAGCAAGUGACAAUUCAGAAAGACACAGUCUUUGUGAGAGGUUAAUGUGCAGACCACGACCAGUAACUUAGAAACGCUCAUCAGAGUUUUGCUUCUGCUAUCUGUUGUUCCAAGGGCUGGAAGGACCACUGUCAGUUGAAUCUGCCUCAGCUUCGCAGAGGGGCUUGCUAACAGUCCACUGCUUGGUGUAAUGAAAUCUCUUCAGAAGCAAAGCAGACUCAGAAACUUAGUGAUGCACCUUAUUCUUUCUCUCCUGCUUUUACAAUAUCCCCAAACCCUGUGAUUUUCCCAGUGUGUUUUCUGUAGUAGUUUUGUACUGUAGAAAAUAAUCUGCCAUAAACUGGACUUUAUUGUGUUGCAAGUGAUGUCUCUGGCUUAUUGCCCUCCUGCUCCACAUGGUCCACUUAAUAAUGUAAAACCUGUGAUAAUCCUUUGCCUUAAAGACAGAUGCUAAAUAUUUCUGUGUUCCAAUUAAUAAUUCUUAGCUUCACUGUUAAUUUUCCUUUAAAGCUAACUGUGGUGUCAAAUAAAAUAUUACACAAAUACUC
RNAcentral lists this long non-coding RNA (958 nucleotides) under Mus musculus (house mouse). Its description in RNAcentral is "long non-coding RNA chrX:9270235-9271193". The record is from RNAcentral. Lineage: Eukaryota; Metazoa; Chordata; Mammalia; Rodentia; Muridae.